ACUCCCUUUCCCUCCUCACUACCCUGCUUUCAUCAGAGAAGUGCAGGUUGAAGAAAGAUCUGCAGAUGUAUUAGACAACGUUAUUCCUUCUAGAUGGAAUGUGGACAACUCUUUUGUUAGUAGAAGCAACAAGUAACAAACAUUGCAACCCAAGAUCAAGUAACUCUUCGAACAGGCUGCUGUGUUCACUUGAAAGUGAUUCCAAACAAGUAUUCCACUAUUCAGUAUAAAGACCUCUUUAUUAGCUAGUUUAUAUAGUACUCCCUCCAUCCACCAAUUUAAGGGACACGAUUUAAUUGGACUUGGAGACCAGAAAUAAUUUUGACUCGCAUAUUAUCAUCAAAAUAAUAGAAGGCAAGCAUUAAGGUGGCUCGUGAAAAAUGUCAGCAUUAUCCUCUGUUUCUUUCGCUCGCAUAUUACUAUUGGCCUGAAAUGAGCAUAAAUGGAGCGACAUGGACAGUGUGGAUUCACAUUCUCAUAUAGCAUCUCCAAGUUGCUUGGGAUUGAGGCAUAGUUGUUGUACUUGCAUAUUAGUAUAACGAUAAUAGUAAAUAGCAUUAAAGAAGCUGCUGAAAAAUGAUAGUACCCUUCUUAAAACUAACCAUGUCAUCAAAUUGUUGCAAUUUGCAAGUGCAAGAGACUCUAGUUUAUAUCAACAACCAAACAACAAUAUUUUGUGUCAAAGAUGCACUACAAUAUAUCUUGCAAAUCAGGACAAUGUCCAAAUAAUAUGGGUACAUUUGCAACUAAACCAAAAUUCCUUUAAUUCAUAUGGCAUGUAAUAAGACAAUUCCACAACCACAACAUAGACUAACAUAACCAGAGGCGGGAUUCAGGAUCCACAUUAAACAUGAUGGCUUCAACCUUUAUGUUCUCAUCAUCAAACCCAUUGCAAAACAUUAUGGAUUCAAAAUGAAAUAUUUAUUCAAAUUUUAGUAUUUUUCACAGAUACCCAAGCUCAGUGUAAAAAAUGCUGGGUUUAGUUGAACCCAUGCAUUAUUAUUUACAUCCACCACUGAACAUAUCAAACAGAUUGGCUUCAAAAUACACUGCACCAUAAGCACUACAACCACAACCUCAAAUAUCAAACAAUUACAUCUAACCUUAACUAGAAUUACAUUAAGGACAUAAAAGAGGAGCCUCUUGACCAAUGAGAUACUAUCCGUUUUGGUGUCAAAUGGAUGAACGCACUAGCUAUGGCCCUCGUGGUUGCUAAUUUUGGAGAUAUACUGCAGUACCCUCCUCAAACUACUAGUCUCCCUCUCCCAGCAUUAUAAAGCCAUUUCAAAAUUACACUUACCAAUCUACUA
RNAcentral lists this long non-coding RNA (1310 nucleotides) under Nicotiana benthamiana. RNAcentral's name for it is "long non-coding RNA (NBEN_LNC029192)". The record is from RNAcentral. Lineage: Eukaryota; Viridiplantae; Streptophyta; Magnoliopsida; Solanales; Solanaceae.